CAACUUCCCACAGCCAGUGAACACAGACAUUCCCACUUCCUCACGGAAGGACCAGGACAGCCCAGGCUGGGUCCCAUCUCCAGGCCUUGACAUCCCCAGGCUUGGGGUAGCCAGGGGAUGGAGCCCCCACGACCACCGGCUGCUCCCUGUGUGUUCAUCCAGUUCAGUGGUCCUUCUGAUGUCAGUAACAGCACCUGCUAUAGAAGGCCUGCUCUCCUCGGCGGCCCCCAGAGGACAAGCCUGGACACAACCUCGAUGCCCAGCCCCUGGGGAUCGGAUGACUGUGGGCAGGAACACGUGCACAGGGAAAUACCAUGAGAAAGAACUUGGAAAGGAGACCACAGUGCGUAAAAGAAAACAAAUGGCCAAACAGGAUGUGCAGCAUUGCCCGACUUCCACACAAGAUUUCUUUUUUUUUUUAAAGAUUUUAUUUUAUUAUUUAUUUGAGAGAGAGAGAAUGAGAGAUAGAGAGCACGAGAGGGAAGAGGGUCAGAGGGAGAAGCAGACUCCCCGCAGAGCAGGGAGCCCAAUGUGGGACUCGAUCCCGGGACUCCAGGAUCAUGACCUGAGCCGAAGGCAGUCGCUUAACCAACUGAGCCCCCAGGCGCCCUUCCACACAAGAUUUCUAUGUGCUUGUAUUGACAGAAAAAUCUGGAAGACUUUGUCCUGAACUCUUGGCACUG
Zalophus californianus (California sea lion) is the source of this 683-nucleotide long non-coding RNA. RefSeq lists it as uncharacterized. The transcript is spliced from 3 exons. The record is from RefSeq and is a predicted model, not a curated record. Lineage: Eukaryota; Metazoa; Chordata; Mammalia; Carnivora; Otariidae.